UGAAAACCAAACACUAAUUCUUAGAUCCUGAAUUAACUGGAAACUAUUUUAAGCAUCCAUUAUACACAAAAUAUAUAUAUACAUUUGCAAACCAAUAGAUUAAUCCUAUAAUCACUUCUUAUGCUCACCCAAUAUUCCAAAAUUCGAAUUCAAACUAACAUUAAACAUGCUAACAAACCUUGAAAUACUUGUAAGGAAUCAGUAUUACCUUAAGCUAAACUCUAAAUGAAUUCCAUGCCUUAUGAAUAACUAAUACUCAAUUAUUACAACUUUACCAAACUAUUCAAAGAAUAUCAAAUCCACACACACUGGAUCAAUGAUAGAAUCUGAUAAAUAUCUUCAGCUAAGAUGAAUUGCAGACUAAGUUAUAUCACUAAAGUCAACAACUACACAAUUCUACAAUGAAUUUGAGCACUCAAACUUGAGGAAAUUAGGGGGAUGAACUAAAGCUAAAAUAUAAACAAUUUUCGAUAAUAGUUACAAACCAAAUAUACACCUAAAUUAAACAAAAGGCCAUAACAAGUAAAAAAAACAAAUCAUACAAAAAAACUGAAAAGGGCUCUCACGCUUUGACUUCUUCAUGUCAGUUCAUUUUUUCCAAAUUUCAUUUCACAAUCAACAUGGUUACAAGGGAGUGCACCUGGAAGUGGAAAGAAACAGAAUCAAAGCUAUCAGCCACAAAAUAGAGGUCGGCAACAACAAUAGAAUAAUAGAACACCAACCCAGGUUCAAGAGAUGGAAUUAUAAGAGUAUGCAAACCAAGGAAAGAGUGAUCCAAUAUACCAAAUGACUUCCAAAAUGAAACGGUGAUCACCAGACCAAAUAACUUCACAAAACCAACUAUUACCCCCAACUUCAAACCAUUUCCAAUUCCAAAUGAAUUGCAGAUAAUUUCAAAAAUGAGAGAAAACUUCCAGAAAUCCAAGAAGGAAAUAAAAAGAAAUCGAUAAAACAGUGAACUUCAGUUGUUUUUUUAUUUUUUGAUUUUCUUUUAUCAAACAGUAGAACUUUUAGUUUUUGUAUUUUGGAUCUUUUCCUAUCAAUCUCUAGUCGUUUUGAUUUUUCAAAUUUCUCUCCUAUAAUUCUUGCCUUGAAAGGCAAGAAGGAUAACUUAUAUAGGCCCAACCAUAUGGCAAACCCCAAAACCAGCUAUUCAUCUUUUAACCCUUUGUAAUUUCCUUUUUAUUCAAUUACCCCAUAUGUUAAGACACUAAAAUGCUGAAAUACCCCCUUUCCUCCCCCCGAUGAUAUCUAAAAUUCUCCCCUUCUCACAUGUGACCCUAACCUUAUCCUCUAGAGACUCCCCCCACAACAGAAAAGAUUCCUUACACCAAAUUCCUAGAAUACCCUCUUAAACCCCUGUAAUUACUUCAACGGACCAAAUGGACAUGGGUCAAUUCGACCCACUGGUCCAAUUCACUAUUGGGACAUGCCUUUAUUAUCUUAAGUUGGCCCAGAAAAAAACCAAGGUUCAAACAACCAUUAACGGAAAUAAUUUCAGCACUUUAACUCUUUAGAUCAGUUAGACUAGAAAACUGAAGCUAUUAAAGCAAUGGACUAAAUUGUUGAUUAAAAGAAAUGCAAGAUUAAUAUGUAUGAACAUAUAAUUGCAAAAUUAAACACACAAACUGGUUUUGAACAAACACUUUUUGAAUUCAGGACAAACGUUCUGGAAAUUAAAGUGACCUAAAACAAAACUAAAGGAAUAAUUAAACUAGACUAAAUCAAUUACAAGCAGAAAGGCUACAUACAAAGAGAAAAGAAGAAGAAUACAGGUGUAUAGCUAAAAAGAAAGAAGAAUGAAAAAGACUAGGAGAAUGAGACAUACCUUCCCAGAUACCCUCUUUGAAAUUGACCCUCGAGGAACCCAUGAUUUUGAGUCCGGACUAAACUUCAAUCAUGUGUUCUCAAAUGAGAACACAUGACUUAAUUCGAUUCCAAACUCAGAAUCUCAAAAUAACCAUUGAAUCAGACUCUUUUUUGGAAUUUAGGGUUUUUUCUUUGAUUCAAUAUUCGAAAGGUUUGGCGUAGAUUUGAGGAAAACCAUUUGGAUAAUAGUAAUUGGGAGACAAUGAGGAGUUCAGGGUGUAAUUUUGGGGAUUUUUGGGCGAGUUAGGAUUUUGCCGCCUCUCUUCGAUUCCAGAUUCGAGAGGUUUGGCAAGGAUUCGAGGAAAAUUAGUUGGAUAUUUCAAAAUAGGAGGUGAAGGAGAGUCUAAGUUGUAAAAUGGGAUUCACCGUAGGCGAUUUCCGGCAUGCGGCUCAUGGCGGAAAAGGUAAGGGGUCUCUGAGGGUGUGUUGAGGACGAUAAGAGGGGAUGAUGGGACGCUAAAACGACGUCGUUUAAAACCAACGACUCAGAUGAUGGGACGCUAAAACGACAUCGUUUGGGUUGGAAUGGGAGUUGGACCGGGCGAUGGGGUAUUGGGCUGGACCAACCAGGCACUCAUUUUAAAACAACUGGGCCUGGAUCUGACUUCCACUCUUACUUCUUUUCCUUUUGUUUUUAUUUCUUUUCCAAAUUUUU
RNAcentral lists this long non-coding RNA (2524 nucleotides) under Nicotiana benthamiana. RNAcentral's name for it is "long non-coding RNA (NBEN_LNC016099)". The record is from RNAcentral. Lineage: Eukaryota; Viridiplantae; Streptophyta; Magnoliopsida; Solanales; Solanaceae.